RNAcentral lists this ribosomal RNA (472 nucleotides) under Neisseria pharyngis. Its description in RNAcentral is "bacterial SSU rRNA". It matches the Rfam family "Bacterial small subunit ribosomal RNA", at positions 30 to 489 of the family's 1533-position model. The record is from RNAcentral. Lineage: Bacteria; Pseudomonadati; Pseudomonadota; Betaproteobacteria; Neisseriales; Neisseriaceae.
AUUGAACGCUGGCGGCAUGCUUUACACAUGCAAGUCGGACGGCAGCACAGAGAAGCUUGCUUCUUGGGUGGCGAGUGGCGAACGGGUGAGUAACAUAUCGGAACGUACCGAGCAGUGGGGGAUAACUAAUCGAAAGAUUAGCUAAUACCGCAUAUAUUCUGAGGAAGAAAGCAGGGGACCAUUUGGCCUUGCGCUGUUUGAGCGGCCGAUAUCUGAUUAGCUAGUUGGUGGGGUAAAGGCCUACCAAGGCGACGAUCAGUAGCGGGUCUGAGAGGAUGAUCCGCCACACUGGGACUGAGACACGGCCCAGACUCCUACGGGAGGCAGCAGUGGGGAAUUUUGGACAAUGGGCGCAAGCCUGAUCCAGCCAUGCCGCGUGUCUGAAGAAAGGGCUUCGGGUUGUAAAGGACUUUUGUCAGGGAAGAAAAGGAUAGGGUUAAUACCCCUGUCUGAUGACGUACCUGAAGAAUAA